GAGUUUGAUCAUGGCUCAGGACGAACGCUGGCGGCGUGCCUAAUACAUGCAAGUAGAACGCUGAAGAGAGGAGCUUGCUCUUCUUGGAUGAGUUGCGAACGGGUGAGUAACGCGUAGGUAACCUGCCUUGUAGCGGGGGAUAACUAUUGGAAACGAUAGCUAAUACCGCAUAACAAUAGGUGACACAUGUCAUUUAUUUGAAAGGGGCAAUUGCUCCACUACAAGAUGGACCUGCGUUGUAUUAGCUAGUAGGUGAGGUAACGGCUCACCUAGGCGACGAUACAUAGCCGACCUGAGAGGGUGAUCGGCCACACUGGGACUGAGACACGGCCCAGACUCCUACGGGAGGCAGCAGUAGGGAAUCUUCGGCAAUGGGGGCAACCCUGACCGAGCAACGCCGCGUGAGUGAAGAAGGUUUUCGGAUCGUAAAGCUCUGUUGUAAGUCAAGAACGAGUGUGAGAGUGGAAAGUUCACACUGUGACGGUAGCUUACCAGAAAGGGACGGCUAACUACGUGCCAGCAGCCGCGGUAAUACGUAGGUCCCGAGCGUUGUCCGGAUUUAUUGGGCGUAAAGCGAGCGCAGGCGGUUUGAUAAGUCUGAAGUUAAAGGCUGUGGCUCAACCAUAGUUCGCUUUGGAAACUGUCAAACUUGAGUGCAGAAGGGGAGAGUGGAAUUCCAUGUGUAGCGGUGAAAUGCGUAGAUAUAUGGAGGAACACCGGUGGCGAAAGCGGCUCUCUGGUCUGUAACUGACGCUGAGGCUCGAAAGCGUGGGGAGCGAACAGGAUUAGAUACCCUGGUAGUCCACGCCGUAAACGAUGAGUGCUAGGUGUUGGAUCCUUUCCGGGAUUCAGUGCCGCAGCUAACGCAUUAAGCACUCCGCCUGGGGAGUACGACCGCAAGGUUGAAACUCAAGGGAAUUGACGGGGGCCCGCACAAGCGGUGGAGCAUGUGGUUUAAUUCGAAGCAACGCGAAGAACCUUACCAGGUCUUGACAUCCCGAUGCUAUUUCUAGAGAUAGAAAGUUACUUCGGUACAUCGGUGACAGGUGGUGCAUGGUUGUCGUCAGCUCGUGUCGUGAGAUGUUGGGUUAAGUCCCGCAACGAGCGCAACCCCUAUUGUUAGUUGCCAUCAUUCAGUUGGGCACUCUAGCGAGACUGCCGGUAAUAAACCGGAGGAAGGUGGGGAUGACGUCAAAUCAUCAUGCCCCUUAUGACCUGGGCUACACACGUGCUACAAUGGUUGGUACAACGAGUUGCGAGUCGGUGACGGCAAGCUGAUCUCUUAAAGCCAAUCUCAGUUCGGAUUGUAGGCUGCAACUCGCCUACAUGAAGUCGGAGUCGCUAGUAAUCGCGGAUCAGCACGCCGCGGUGAAUACGUUCCCGGGCCUUGUACACACCGCCCGUC
This 1405-nucleotide ribosomal RNA is filed under the name uncultured bacterium. Its description in RNAcentral is "bacterial SSU rRNA". It matches the Rfam family "Bacterial small subunit ribosomal RNA". The record is from RNAcentral.